RNAcentral lists this ribosomal RNA (469 nucleotides) under uncultured bacterium. RNAcentral's name for it is "partial 16S ribosomal RNA". It matches the Rfam family "Bacterial small subunit ribosomal RNA", at positions 28 to 507 of the family's 1533-position model. The record is from RNAcentral.
GACGAACGCUGGCGGCGUGCUUAACACAUGCAAGUCGAGCGGAAAGGCCCUGCUUGCAGGGUGCUCGCGUGGCGAACGGGUGGGUAACACAUGGGUGAUCUACCCCUUACUAUGGGAUAAGCCUCUGCAACUGGGUCUAAUACUUGAUAGGACAAUGCUGUAGGUGGUGUGGUGGAUAGUUUAAUUUCGGUAAGAGAUGAGCUCGCGGCCUAUCAGCUUGUUGGUGGGGUAAUGGCCUACCAAGGCGUCGACGGGUAGCCGGCCUGAGAGGGUGGACGGCCACAUUGGGACUGAGACACGGGCCAGAAUCCUACGGGAGGCAGCAGUGGGGAAUAUUGCACAAGGGGCGCAAGCCUGAUGCAGCGACGCCGUGUGGGGGAUGACGGCCUUCGGGUUGUAAACUCCUUUCAGCCAUGACGAAGCCCUUGUGGUGACGGUAGUGGUAGAAGAAGCACCGGCUAACUACGUG